Molecule: RNA transcript, 2466 nt
Organism: Bombus terrestris (buff-tailed bumblebee)
Lineage: Eukaryota; Metazoa; Arthropoda; Insecta; Hymenoptera; Apidae
Exons: 2
Source: RefSeq, a predicted model, not a curated record
UCCACGACAUUCGUGGAAAACACGGCUUCUUUCUGGUGACACCCGGAAAUUCCUAGUUAAUUCUCGUGAUUGUAAAUCGUUCCUCAUGUUAAAGAUAAAGGAGAUAAGAAAAUGUAUCGGACGGAAUACGUUAUACCCUGGGUUCAGAUGCGAGCGAGAGAGGAGUACAUUCUAAAAGCAUCUAGGCAAUAUCCCGUGGUAAGAGAACUUUCCAAACGAAUUCGGAGAGUUUAAUAAUUAACGUCGAGAGCGGCAGUGCUCGCUGAACGUUCUAUUCCGGGGGGUAGUUCGUUCACGCUGAAACUGAGACAAGCCCGUGAGAUACGGAAAAACCAUUUCCCGCCGUAUUCGGAAAUCUAUCACUCGGGAUGAAAUUUUCUUUCCAACCAUUCGAUACUGCUGUCUCGGAUGAUGAUGCACCGGCUUAUCUUGGAUUAAGUAUCAAACUGUCGUCUGCUUGUUCAUAGGGUGAUCUUUAAAUUUGGAUCCGUUCGCUCUUCGAAAUUCGAUCACGUAUUUUAACAACAACAAAGAAGACAGCGCAAAAUCGGCAUAUGAGCGUCUUCAUAGCGUAGAUUUCGAUCUUUCCAAGCCACGGUCUGAUCGUACCAAGCCUAGUCUUUAUUGGUUGGAAAUCUCAAAGGAAAACCAAGGCCACAAGGUCCCGAUGACUACUAAUCUGUGGUACGGUCGACCGAACAGAGUUCAAGUCGAUUUUCCUGGGACUAAAUUUAAUCGAUCGAGCAAAAUGCAAGAGUUCUACAUUCGCUGUGGUUUUAGUCUAGUUAGCGACGAGGAAAACGGAUCGUUCUGCUAGAGUGAAUCUGUUAGGCAAGCUUUUUUGAUUCUCUUUUUUCUAACAUUAGUUCGACCGAUUUUAUUAAUAUUACAUAUAAUAUAAAAUACUAUUGAAAAGUGUUACUAUUCAUUACAUCACAUUUAUGUAGAAUUCGUUAAAACUAUGCUUCGUGUGCAUGUAAAAUAUUAAAUUUGAUUGAUAUUUAAUAAAGUGAUAAAAAGAUUGCGUUAGAAUAUUUAGUAAUAGAGUUCUCGUUUCUUAUAGUUAAGUAUGAAAAAUUGUUUUAUGAAGCUUUUCCAUUUAACCGAAUAAAGCGGUAUACGAGGGAGUUUACCUUUUAGUUAAGUACUUAAAAGAAAAUAAUAUGUAUGACUGAAUUAUUUGUAUGUUCAUGUUUCAGCCGAUUAUUACUCUUGACAUUCUGUAUUAAAUCAUAUUCGCGGCGAAAUCCAUGCUUGAAAGUAGAUUCAGUAAUCAUUAAUCGACUUACACACCUUUUUCAAUUCUUUAUGAGUGACAUAUAAUAAUUUAUAAGGACUUUGGACUGGUAAUUUUCACAUAUUCAGCAAAGCACAAAUUCAACACGUUUCACGUAUUCAUCUACUACCGGAGAUCGAUAUUGCAUCGUUCAAAUUUAAAAUUGCUCGCUUUCUGUGAAGAAUGCUUCUACGAGGUUGCCAUCAUUUUUUGCAACGUAAAUGUUUAAAAUCUGGUUCCCCAGAAAGUUUUUUCUUUGACAGACAGGAUGAAAAUUGGGUAAUUCUGUACGACGUAUGAAACCAAAUUUGUUAUUGGAAAGUGGUGCACGUACGAACAAUAAGGAUAUUAAUCUUAAAAAGACCAAAGUGCUAAGAGUAAGAAUAUAUGCAUGUGGUUAAUGUUACAUGAUCUCCAUUAACGUUUAAUUUAUGUUGUAUUUGGUAUAUUUUAUACGUAUGUAUUUUGUUUUUUUUUUAAAUUUUUUUCUCAGGAAAGGAUGAUAUAAUUAUCCGUAUACAUUUAUGAUUUAAAGAGCAAAACUGCUGCUAAAUGUAUUUGUGAGAGAAUUAAGCGUUGAUAUUGGGCAAAAAUGGGGUGAAAACUUUACGAAUAAAAUGCGCAAGAUGUAAAAUUAUUCUAUAAUUGAAUAACAGUAUUUUAAUAAAAUGUAUUUUUUAAGAGAUUUCGGAAGCCUGAAAGAACUGAGAUAUACAGAGAUAAUAAGAAGCAAAGAUUAACAUAUACGUCCGUUCGUUUCUAUCUCUGAAAAAAAUUACAUUUUAAAUUAAUAAAUUACAUCGUAUCUUUAGAAUGGUUCUGCUUUAUUCAGUUUUGAACGAAUUUUCUUAUUAUACCGCAGAUUAAACAAUCAUUAUAUAAUUUAAAAAAUCUUCCUCGUACAAAAACGAAGUGCAAUUGCUCAAUUUUUAAUUUCGAAGCAUUUAAUAAUACAAAAUAUAUAUACACAUGUAAGAUGGUUUCUUUUGCUUCGAGAUUUUUGUCGAUGCGAUUAUUUAUAAAAAAUGUAAAUUCAUAAUUUUUCUAUUAUCUUUCGUACAUGUAGGUAUGUAGAAAAAUAAUUCUUUAUAAAAUUGUAAUUUUUUAUCUACUGGUCACCUUUACCAGUUAUUUCCGAUCAGUAAUCUAGUAGUAUAGGCAUUUUCUCUUAAUCCUCUGAUAUUUCCUUU